GCUACCAUGCAGUCGAACGAAACUUUUUGCUUCGGUAGAAAGUUUAGUGGCGGACGGGUGAGUAACGCGUGAGGAACCUGCCUUUCAGAGGGGGAUAAUGUCUGGAAACGGACACUAAUACCGCAUGACAUUUUCUGUUCACAUGGACAGAAAAUCAAAGGAGCAAUCUGCUGAAAGAUGGACUCGCGUCCGAUUAGCUAGAUGGUGAGAUAAUAGCCCACCAUGGCGACGAUCGGUAGCCGGACUGAGAGGUUGAACGGCCACAUUGGGACUGAGACACGGCCCAGACUCCUACGGGAGGCAGCAGUGGGGGAUAUUGCACAAUGGAGGAAACUCUGAUGCAGCAACGCCGCGUGAAGGAAGACGGUCUUCGGAUUGUAAACUUUUGUACCUAGGGACGAUAAUGACGGUACCUAGGCAGCAAGCUCCGGCUAACUACGUGCCAGCAGCCGCGGUAAUACGUAGGGAGCGAGCGUUGUCCGGAUUUACUGGGUGUAAAGGGUGCGUAGGCGGUCAAGCAAGUCAGCUGUGAAAACUAUGGGCUUAACCCAUAGCCUGCAAUUGAAACUGUUUGGCUUGAGUGAAGUAGAGGUAGGUGGAAUUCCCGGUGUAGCGGUGAAAUGCGUAGAGAUCGGGAGGAACACCAGUGGCGAAGGCGACCUACUGGGCUUUAACUGACGCUGAAGCACGAAAGCAUGGGUAGCAAACAGGAUUAGAUACCCUGGUAGUCCAUGCUGUAA
RNAcentral lists this ribosomal RNA (740 nucleotides) under uncultured bacterium. Its description in RNAcentral is "bacterial SSU rRNA". It matches the Rfam family "Bacterial small subunit ribosomal RNA", at positions 48 to 805 of the family's 1533-position model. The record is from RNAcentral.